UACAGAGGUCCCAAGCGUUGUUCGGAUUCAUUGGGCGUAAAGGGUGCGUAGGUGGCAUGGUAAGUCGGGUGUGAAAUCCCGGGGCUCAACCCCGGAACUGCACUCGAUACUACCGUGCUCGAGUACUGGAGAGGAGACUGGAAUUUACGGUGUAGCAGUGAAAUGCGUAAAUAUCGUAAGGAAGACCGGUGGCGAAGGCUAGUCUCUGGACAGUUACUGACACUGAGGCACGAAGGCCAGGGGAGCAAACGGG
This 253-nucleotide ribosomal RNA is filed under the name uncultured bacterium. RNAcentral describes it as "partial 16S ribosomal RNA". It matches the Rfam family "Bacterial small subunit ribosomal RNA", at positions 524 to 776 of the family's 1533-position model. The record is from RNAcentral.